This 342-nucleotide RNase P RNA is filed under the name bacterium. Its description in RNAcentral is "RNase P RNA component class A". It matches the Rfam family "Bacterial RNase P class A". Rfam says of the family: Ribonuclease P (RNase P) is a ubiquitous endoribonuclease, found in archaea, bacteria and eukarya as well as chloroplasts and mitochondria. Its best characterised activity is the generation of mature 5'-ends of tRNAs by cleaving the 5'-leader elements of precursor-tRNAs. The record is from RNAcentral.
UAAAGUAAUCGAACAAUCGCGCCCUUCAGGGUGAGGAAAGUCCGUGCAUUCAAGGACAGACAGCCGGAGAAACUCCGGACGGCGUGAGUCGGUGGAAAGUGCCACAGAAAUGAAAGACUGCCGAUGGGCUUCAAAGUCACAGGCGAUGGUGCAACGGUGAGUUAAGAGCUUCACCGGCGAUAUUGAGAAAUAUCGGCCAGGUAAACCCCUGUCGAAUGCAAGGUUAAAUCGAAACACAGGGUGUCCGCCCUUUCGGAAAAACCGCUUGAGAUCAGGAGUAAUCCCGAUACCAGACAGAUGAUUGUUUAGAAACAGAACACGGCUUAUGAGUUGCUUUAUUUU